GGAGUUUGGACCGUGUCUCAGUUCCAAUGUGGGGGACCUUCCUCUCAGAACCCCUACUGAUCGCGGGCUCGGUGGGCCGUUACCCCCGCCGACAACCUAAUCAGACGCAUCCCCAUCCCUCAGCGAUAAAUCUUUAUUCCUAAUCAGAUGCCUUCAAAGGAAACCAUAAGGUAUUAAUCCAUCUUUCGAUGGGCUAUCCCUUACUCAGGGGCAGGUUGGAUACGCGUUACUCACCCAUUCGCCGGUCGACGCCU
Molecule: ribosomal RNA, 254 nt
Filed under: uncultured Prevotella sp.
Lineage: Bacteria; Pseudomonadati; Bacteroidota; Bacteroidia; Bacteroidales; Prevotellaceae
Description: partial 16S ribosomal RNA
Source: RNAcentral